GGCGCGGUCGUCCGGCGGGGCUCCUUCAUUGGGGCCGUUUGUCUGGUUUUUCGACCGCACCAUUCUCGGGUAGUGUGU
RNAcentral lists this ribosomal RNA (78 nucleotides) under Gononema pectinatum. RNAcentral describes it as "nuclear SSU rRNA". The record is from RNAcentral. Lineage: Eukaryota; Phaeophyceae; Ectocarpales; Chordariaceae.